UGGGGAAUAUUGCACAAUGGGCGCAAGCCUGAUGCAGCCAUGCCGCGUGUAUGAAGAAGGCCUUCGGGUUUUAAAGUACUUUCAGUCGGGAGGAAGGUGUCAAGGUUAAUAACCUUGGCAAUUGACGUUACCGACAGAAGAAGCACCGGCUAACUCCGUUCCAGCAGCCGCGGUAAUACGGAGGGUGCAAGCGUUAAUCGGAAUUACUGGGCGUAAAGCGCACGCAGGCGGUUGAUUGAGUCAGAUGUGAAAUCCCCGGGCUUAACCCGGGAAUUGCAUCUGAUACUGGUCAGCUAGAGUCUUGUAGAGGGGGGUAGAAGUCAAUGUGUAGCGGUGAAAUGCGUAGAGAUGUGGAGGAAUACCGGUGGCGAAGGCGGCCCCCUGGACAAAGACUGACGCUCAGGUGCGAAAGCGUGGGGAGCAAACAGG
RNAcentral lists this ribosomal RNA (429 nucleotides) under Chloroflexota bacterium. Its description in RNAcentral is "Chloroflexi bacterium partial 16S ribosomal RNA". It matches the Rfam family "Bacterial small subunit ribosomal RNA", at positions 355 to 776 of the family's 1533-position model. The record is from RNAcentral. Lineage: Bacteria; Bacillati; Chloroflexota.